UGUUAUGUUAGUAUUUUUUUGUGAUAAAUGCAGUUAUAUUAUAAAUAUUUAUAGUUGUUUGAUAAUUGAAGGCAUCCUGUGCAUGAUGAUACCUUGUCCUGGUGAUACCUUGCCUGCUUUUCAAUAAUAUAUAUGUUUCUCAUUAAUUAUUAUAUUCUUUUUGUGUUUUUUUAUCGUUUAUAUUAAUUUAUGUAUUCAUUUACUUAUUUUUUUGAAUGAUGGCAUUGAGAUCUGCUUAUUAAUGGGUAUUUUUCAACAUAACUGAUUGACUGAAACAUAUCGUAGUAUUUAAAGAGAUAAUUUCAAGUGGAGCCUUUUGCGUGGGGACUGACUGACUAGCCAAUGGUAGUUAUGAGGGGGGGAUAAAGAGAGGGGGAGGGGGAGAGGGGGGGAGAGAAAGACAAAGAGACGGUGGUGGGCGUCCCUAACGGAUUCCUCCAUUUCAUUUCAAACCGGCGAGCGGGCAGGUGUGGAGUGUUGCUGCAGGUGUGGACUGCCGGCGACCUGCGUGACCAAAGGAAGGUUUGGAACAAAACAAGAAGCAAGAACAAUUAAGAUGAACACUAGCCACACCACAGAACUGUUACUGCUGGCACCACCACCAUCACCACCACCACCACCACCACCACCACCACCACCCUGCCAAGUGGACACCCCAGUGUGAGCGGAGCCAUCAACACCAGCCUGAGGACUAAUUGCUUAUGUACCAGAGGAGUGUGACAGUCUACCAAUACCUUGGAAGGAAGGUGAUGGUGAGGAACAGUGAAGAAAGAUGACGGAGCAGAAACAGGCCCACACCAUCCUGGAAUGUGCUGCAAAUAAUCUUGGUUACCGGCAAAGUAAAGAGAUAAAGAGAUAGAUAGAUACAGAGAUAGAUAAUUAUUAGUAAGAGUGAGAUUAAGAUAGAUAGAUAAUUAUUAUUAAGAGUGUUAGUUAGAUAGAUAUAUACAGAGAUAGAUAAUUAUUAGUAAGAGCGAGAUUAAGAGUGAGAUUAAGAUAGAUAAUUAUUAUUAAGAGUGCUAGAUUAUUAUAUUCUUAUUAUAUUAUUAUUUUAUUUGUGUGUGUGGUGUGUGUGUGUGUGUUCUCUUUUCAGAAGUGUGUUUGGAAUGCAAGAAAUAUACAAGACCACAGAAGAUUCUAUAGUGGUGGUGGUGGUAGUAGUAGUAGUAAUAGUAGUAGUAGUAGUAGUAGUAGUACUUUAUCAAUAUACAGGGCAUUAUAGAAACAAUGAAUGUAGUUAGGGUGGUGGUGGUGGUGGUGGUGGUAAUAAUUUUCUACUACUGGCUCUAACAAAUAUACUAACAUAAUAACAAAUAUACUAACAUAAAUAUUUAUUAUUUUUCUUUUACAGCUUAUUUGAUUUAUUUAAUUAUUUUAUUGGUGGGAGGGAAAAUAAUUUUUUUUGCAAAUUUAUUGAUAAAUUACAUGUUUUAUUUAUAUAUUAAGUUUAUUGAUGUUAUAUUUCGCGGUUUUGUUAAUUUUUUUUUUUUUUUUUUUUUUUUGGGUGGCUUAAUACUGCUUUGUUUUGCUUGGUAAGGGUUCUCACAGGUGUCCGCAAGAGAGAAGAGGAACAUUUCACCCUCAGUCAAGAAUGAAGACUUCUACAUAUAUUUUUUUUUUGGUGUUUGGCUUAAUACUGCUUUGUUUUGUUUGGUAAUGGUUCCCACAGGUGUCCACAAGAGAGAAGAGGAACAUUUCACCCUCAGCCAAGAGUGAAGACUUCUGCUUCAGUCAUCUAGGUCUCUUUAAUGUAAAUGUAUCUAUGAAGAAACAGCAGACAAUGAAAUAAAUGUGUUGUUUGUGUUUUAACUGUUGUUGUUGUAAUGCUUCCUCUGACGCGGGAGGUUCGCCCUCUGGCAGUUAUUGUUGCCAGGGUUUUUUUUUUGGUGUGAAUUGUUGCCUUGAUGGUCAUUUUGUUUGCAUGGUGGUGUUGUCGGUGAGGCCAUCUGGUCAGGAUAGGCAAGGUUGUCUUCUGUUACUCAGACUGAUGGCAGCC
This is a long non-coding RNA of Scylla paramamosain (green mud crab), 1996 nucleotides long. RefSeq lists it as uncharacterized. The record is from RefSeq and is a predicted model, not a curated record. NCBI's taxonomy places the organism in Eukaryota, Metazoa, Arthropoda, Malacostraca, Decapoda, Portunidae. The transcript is spliced from 3 exons.